CCUGCCACUAUACUGUGACACUGUCCUUUCACUCCUCCCAAUGAGCUAAGCUCUUUCCCACCCCAGGCCCUUUGCAGAUGCUGUUUUCUCUGCCCAGAAACCCCCUUCCUCAUGCACUUCAGAAAGCCUCGGCCUCCAUCUUUGCCAUGCUUAACCCUGAGUCACCACCUGCCCCACCCCGUGGUCCCCUUCACUUUGUGCUCCCAUUCCUAGGUUCCUGGCACAGCAUACUGGCUGGCUGGCUGCCCCUGGGCCUGCCAUGUGCCACUCAUUCCACAGGCCUCUUUAUCUCCUCCGGAUCCUUCAUAUACCUGUGCCUUGGGGACCAGGGAGGCAGGGAACUGCAGAGGUUCUUCACAUAGGCUCCAAGAGCCAGACUGCCAUGUCCUAAAUGUCUGACCUUGGGAAAAAGUGAAUUGACCUCCCUGGACCUCACUUCCCACAUCUUAAAAUAGAAGUAAUGAUAGUGCCUUUCCUCAUAGGAUUGUCAUGAGAUGAAAUCAACUAGUCUGAGGGGCUUGGAACAGUGCCUGGUGCUUAAGUGCUAAAUAAAUGCAACUAGUACAAUUAUUCCAAAACCCUCCACUAGCCUCAGAGCCCAGACCCCUCUUUUGCUGCCCUUCAGCUCUCAGCAGGUGACUGCACCCUUUGUGAAAAUGUCAAAGCGGUCAGCCGAAGCAGUGCACUUGAAGCCCUGCACUGCAUAUCAAAAUGUCUCCAGGGUCCCCUCAUCCCUCCCCCUUCCGUCCUGUCUUGGAAGUAAGUGAUCUCCCCUGCCCAGGCCACUCCUCCUCCCCACCUGCUCCACCCUCACUAGCCUUGUUCCUGCCACCAUCACCCCUCCUUUCUCAUCUUCUACACCAGCUAUUCAUUCAAGUAUUUACUGAGGCUCUCCCUUGCACCAGGUGCUGUUCAAGGUGCUGAGGAUAUAGGAGUAAACACAGUACAGUGGCUGCUCUUGUGGUACCUUCUCCAGGAGGGUGAGGCAGAGCAGGGAAGAUGCACAUAGAAAUAAACUGUGCACAGGGUAACUGGAGAUCACGAUGAGAACUCUAGAGAGAAUAGAGCAGGGUGCUGUGCCAGAGGGCAUGGCAAGGGGACUUGCUCAGGGACACUUGCUUUGAAGUCAUGAUGUCUGAGCUGAGAUCUAAAUCUCAGGAAGCCAAAAGAUCCCGUAUCUCGAUUUGAAUGAGGAUUACAGAGCAUACAUACUCCCUUGUCCCAGAAAAAAGCUAGCUGCACAAGAUCUGGCAAAGAACCUUCCAAGCAAGGAAGGAGCAAAUGCAAAGGUCCUAAGGCAGCAGAGAGCUUGCUGAGUUCAGGGGGCAGGCAGGCAGAACACAGCUGAGGGGUUGGGCAAGAGGCAGGCAGGGACCUGACCAAGUGCGGAGCCCAGGAAGGAGGCUGUCUUAUUCGCCGUGCAGUGGGA
Molecule: long non-coding RNA, 1429 nt
Organism: Bos taurus (domestic cattle)
Lineage: Eukaryota; Metazoa; Chordata; Mammalia; Artiodactyla; Bovidae
Source: Ensembl